CUCUCAACUCGCAACGAAAUGUGUCCGCCAUUGCUGUCCGCGUGUAGUCUGCGCGUAUAUGACAUAUCCACGCGAGAGCCCUUGCUCCAUAUUAGGAAGUUAAAUUUGAUUGGUUCGGGAUAAUCGGCAGCAUUGAACCAGAGUUAAACGCUUCUAAGUGAUAUGCUUCUGCUUAUAUAAAUAUCAAUAAAAUACCAAAAAAAAAUCAGUUCGUGAGCGGUCCGUCUAAUAGCAGUCCCUAUUGCAAAAUUUGGACCGCUCAGGCAACCAAUCAGAAUUCUCCUUUUUAGCCUGGACUGUUUCAGCCAAUAAAAACUAAUUAUAUCAAGUAAAUGUAAGUAGGCACAGGUAUGCUCUGCAGACCUGCAUUUCGCCUUGUCGUGGAUUUUUCAACAUUCAAAAUAACUUUCAAUACUCCCAAUCCACCAGUUCCUCAUUUUUAUUCGACUACUUUUUCUAGACUAAUCCAAUUCAUCCAUGAGCUGGCUCGCAAGAACCUUUGAUUAUGUUGGUGUGUUUGUGGUUCAUAGGUUAAAAUACAGUUAAUGACAGAUGGAAAGCAACUGCAUGUUAAACCAAACAUGCUAAGGAAGCCUCCUCUUCCAACUAUAACAGCACCUGCCAGGACAACUGACCUCAUGCAAGUUUCAAACCCUCAUCCAGUUGGACAGGUGUGUAAUGUGACACCUCUCAGGAGAACUGAAACUGCCAACCAGUUAGACAAACAGUCAUCUCAGGAGGCUAAACAAAUUGACCUUGCCAUUGAGCAAGAUCCCUCAACUCUGUAUAAUCUUCUGUGGAUACCAGAGGGGAAAGCACUCUUCCAGCAUGAUUACCAUAGCAGCCAAGAUGUUCCUAUGGGACUUGUUACUAAGAGCAACCUUUACUUGGUGUGUCGCAUGUUCUGGUGUGAAGAGGUGUCUAAAUCAAGAGUUUGUUGGGGAACUGCAAAUCCACCAUUUGGGUUUAAGCAGGUUGCACCAGUGCUACUCACUCCAACUCUGCUACAACGAGUCUGCAAUAACUUCAUGGUUGUAGAGGUUUGGAACAGGGUUAGGCCAAAUGACCUGGAAGACAAGUUGUUAGGUCUUGUCAAGUUACCUUUACAUCAACUCUACCUGUCAUACAGGGACCCUAAAAUCACAAAAACACUACUCAAGUCAAAGUUUCCUGUAGUGGCAGUGGAUCAGUGGUGUCCUGUAACCAACCCAUUUACUCAUAUGCAGCAUGGUCAUAUAAGGGUACUUUUAGCAAUGGGUAUAGAACAGCAGAUUGGAGCCAUCCUGUCAAUUAAGUGUGGAGGAGAGAUUCCAGUUGGAGUAGAGCCACACUCAGCUCAUCAUCUUGAUUCACAGAGAGUGAGAGGUGAAAAAGAAAGUGAAAAUGCUCAUUUAUCAAGAGGCCAAGAAUUUGUUGAGCAUCAGUUUGAGAUUGUGGUCGAGGACAUCAAAGGUCUGUCAGUCUUUGGUAACACUGUUUGGGGUGAAACUGACUGCUUUGUUCAGUAUCACUUUCCAUUCCAAAGGCACCUGGAUUCUGAUUAUGGACCAAGUGAAGGCACACUCAGUCUUCAGCCUCAUCGUACCCCCACUACUUUGUGUGUGCCUGAGCCAGUAUUUCAUGAUGUGACAAGACAUACACUGAAGCUUGCUCAAGGAUUUCCAGUUCAGAAACUCUUACUGGCAGCAUUCACUGGUUCUUGGCUGGCUGCUCCUACUGUCCCAGGGUCAGGUGGAGUUCCUUUUGAACUCUGGCAGAGAUACUACUAUCCAAAUAUCAGAGACCAAAUGGUGGCUAAGGCAAGUCUGCCACUUGCAAAGCUGUGUGCAAUGGUAACUAUGCAGAAACAAGGUGAAGCAAAUUUCCAGACCUUCUCCUUACCAUUGAGAGUCCUUGCUGCAAUUGAGGUGGAUAAUAUGCGACAGGAUAAAGUGCGAGACAGUGGCUUACUUGACAUCACUGUUAAAUAUCAGCAAGUGAAAACAGAGGAUCCAAAAGGAAGACAUACAGCAGUGAUGGAAGACAACAAUCAAGUUUGUUUAUCACUUGGAGUGUUUCAAGCCUGUGGACUCAAGGCAGCAGCACUUUUUCAUGUGGAAUCCAACCCCAGCCUGUCAUAUCCUACAGAGGUUGGUGUCAACACAUACAUUGUGCUGCAGUUCCCACUGGGAAAGAAGCUCAAGCAUGUGACAAGGACUGUGGCACGGACAUUCAGUCCUGAGUUUUCAUACAAUGCAGAUAUAUUGUUACCAGUAGUGUUGCCAUCUGAUGUAAGUGGUACUAAAAGAAAUCUGAGUUUAGCAGAACAGCUGGAAAAAUCUGAAAUGGUGUUUGAAGUUUGGCAUCAAAUGUCACGAGGAGUGAGUGGUGACCAGACAAUAAGAUCAGGUAUGGAGCAAGUCAAGUCUGGAGGGCAGAGAGAUGUUUUGCUUGGUGUGGGAAAAGUACCUCUUGUCAAGCUUCUUGCUCAUAAAACAGGAGUCAAAGGAUGGUACCCAAUAUACUUGCCUAGUAAAAGUGGCAUGCAUGAUGGUGAUGUGGACAAGGUUGUUGGAGGGUUAGAACUUAGUAUCCAAUUCUCAGAAGCAGAGGAUAGAGACCAUGUUAUUCACCUGUCAAGAGGAGUUGGUUGGUCUCCACUGCCUGAGAUAGAUUGUGAUGAGGAGUGGCUGGACAAAGAGGAUCUAUCCAAAAAGAAACACUGGGAGUAUUGCUUGAACAUCAACAAGGCUUGGAUUCCUUCGUCAGAACUUCAUUCUUUUCAGGUGUCAGUAACAAAACGGGAUAAAGAUAUCAGGGCUUAUGCACGAUACAAGCUCUACAACAAAGCUCCCAUAUGCUCAAGAGUGUCAUCUGUGAAAGAUUCUGGUGAUGGUAAACUCAUUUGUGAGCUGAAACAUUGUAAAGAUGUUGUACUGCCAUCAUCACCCUCCCUUACUUGGCAAAUGAGAGAAGAAUGUUUAGAGGUCCAGUUAUGGCUCAGAAACAUGAGAAAUGCUGAGGUUAAAAACCCUAAGAAGAGAGACAGAUUAGUGGGAUCAGCAUUUGUAGAUGUUUCAUCAUUGCUUCUUGGCCAGCAAAGGAAGCAUAGACAAAUAAGUGGGUUGUACCCACUGUUCAGGUCUGGGGCAAGUGAUCUGUGUGGUGCUUGUAUCCAUAUUCAAGUCUCCCUUAACUUGAGUUCUGAUGAUGACUUUGACCAUCAGUGUGACUUGGAAGGGCAAUUAAGUUCACAUGAAUCUGUCAGUGGUAGUUCUUCAGUUGAGGAUAAUGUGCAAGACAUCAGAUCAAUGAUUUCCACUCAGGAUCACACUUUGCCUGUUAAAUCAACACAGCAUGAAACAAACAAACAGCUGCCAGUCACUGAAGCUGAGGACAACACAUUCAUGGCACAUGUAAUUAUUGAACAAGCACUUCACCUUCCUACAGUUCCAGGAGACAAUGAUGCAAGGUAUUCAAUCAGAUCUAUUCAGUACAUUUACAGGGAGAAAACUGGUUGAAAAAGUGAUGUACAUGUUUUGAAUUAUUAUAACAUUGGUAUUUAUUUAUUUAUUUAUUUUACAAUUACAAUUCAAUGGUGUACUUAAAAAAUAAAAAAUAAAAUAAAAUCAACAAAUAAAUUAUAUUAAUUAACAUAGGGAAGCCAUAAGGGUAAUCCGUGCAAGAGUAAAGAAGCUCCAUAUAUAUACACGACAGUUCACCUAAUGUAAUCACAAUAUAAAUAUUAAGAACAUACAUAUCAUUAAAAUUUAUUAUAGGCUAAUCUAAAAAUGUAUUAAAAAUAAAGAAAGAAAGAAAGAAAAGCUCUAAACAUCAAUAAGCAUUCAUCAAUAUGGACAGUUAGUUCCCUACCCCACCCCAUCUACAAUUGUAUGAGAAAUAUUUAGGUGUAAGCAAAUCAGAUAAUGUAUAAAACUAUUAAAAUUGUGAACUAAAGAAAAUGACUGUUAUUAAAAGGGCAGCAUUGAUCCUACUCAUAAAAAUGAACAUAGAGUGAAAAGUUAAGUAAAGAAGUUGGUAAAAAUGAGCUAAUAUCCCAAGAAAAUACUUACAUAGUUCAAACAAGUUACUGGAGAGGAAAGCAUUAACAUCAGUAUUAUAUGCUGUACCACCGAAUAAACAUGCGAAGAAAAGAAAACUGAAUUGACAAACUUAGUUUAUGGUCAGGUACGUGCGCACUCUGUUUUACUUUUAAAACUUUGAAAUUUUAUACGUCAUAAUAUUAUGUAAUAAGAACAUUUUAGCCUACUGUUAUGUAGUGAACACUUGUUCAUGUAGCCAUUGCACUGACAAUGAAGGAUGUACCACCAAAACAUGUCUGAAAGACUGGGUUGACCACAACACCUGCCCAACAUUGAAUUGUGGGGCCAGGACUAUCAGAGAAUUUUCAUUAGAUGCAUUUAUUGUCAUUUUCUAAUAGUUUCUCAAGUACUUUUGACACCCAUUGUACCUUGGUAGUGUCAACGUUGUGUAUUUUCAACUCUUUGCUGGCAAUUUCUUUUCUGAAAGACAUGCUGUCAGUUUAUCAGAGUGCAUGCUCAAAACAAUUAGUAAUUUAAAAGUGAAAAUAGAAAUGCUCCCAAAGGAGCCAUUUGUUGGUUGGAGGGCUCUGUGUUGGACAUCUGUCAAAUGAUUGACAGACAGACAGACAGACAGACAACCUUUACUUAAGUACGAUUAGAAUUAAAACAAAUGACUGUCUGAUGUCAGAUGACUUUCUGUUGGUUAAUUGACUGUUGGUUGUUUGUUGGGGCAACAGGUAACAAUUUUCCUGGUUUUACAUGUAUGUGUCAGCCGAUUGUUAGUCAAGGGUUGGCUCACAGUCCACCAGCUUUCCAUCAGUAAAGUGUUGGUACAAUUACUGCCCAAUGUGUAUGUUUCUUAUCAAACACUUGCCUCCUUACCCCUGGCAUCUACACCAGUUGUCAAGUCUUCAUGU
Molecule: unclassified non-coding RNA, 4939 nt
Filed under: Orbicella faveolata
Lineage: Eukaryota; Metazoa; Cnidaria; Anthozoa; Scleractinia; Merulinidae
Description: c2 domain-containing protein 3-like, transcript variant X1
Source: RNAcentral